RNAcentral lists this ribosomal RNA (253 nucleotides) under uncultured bacterium. RNAcentral describes it as "partial 16S ribosomal RNA". It matches the Rfam family "Bacterial small subunit ribosomal RNA", at positions 524 to 776 of the family's 1533-position model. The record is from RNAcentral.
UACGUAGGGUGCAAGCGUUGUCCGGAAUUAUUGGGCGUAAAGCGCACGUAGGCGGCAUUGCAAGUCGGAUGUGAAAUCCCUCGGCUCAACCAAGGAAGUGCAUCCGAAACUGCCGUGCUUGAGUACUAAAGAGGAUCGCGGAAUUCCCGGUGUAGAGGUGAAAUUCGUAGAUAUCUGGAGGAACACCGGUGGCGAAGGCGGCAUCCUGGACCGAGAUUGACGCUGAGGCGCGAAAGCCAGGGGAGCAAACGGG